Molecule: long non-coding RNA, 878 nt
Filed under: Manihot esculenta (cassava)
Lineage: Eukaryota; Viridiplantae; Streptophyta; Magnoliopsida; Malpighiales; Euphorbiaceae
Description: long non-coding RNA (MESC_LNC008336)
Source: RNAcentral
UCAUCAGAACAACAGCUCCCCUGACCUGAGAGAACUGUUUUCUAGGGAAAAAGGGUGCCUGUAAACUGUAAAGAGGUUGCUGACAUAACAAGGCUAGAUGACAUGCUGUGAAUUUUUCACUCAUCUGCUUCACAAGCUCUAACUGCAAGGUUUGAAACUAGUUCUGUGAUUUCUAACAUCAUAAGGUAACUGGAUAAUUGAAAGCAAACCAGAUGUACAGACACAGGAAUCAGAUACAUGCCGUACCUAGUAAUUUUACUCUGGUACUGUUUGGAACCAUGAAAAUCAGAAUUCCUUUCGACUGCUACAUGUACAGCUUGAGAGGUAAAAUAGUGGCAUCUACUUGCAUACCAUUGCAUACAAAUUAAAGUUUAUUAAAUUAAUUAAUCCGUGUCCAUUUUCUUGGCCUUCAGUUCCAUGUGGGAUAUUCUUUCUUUCAACGUAAUGCACUGAUUUCAUUAACACCAAUAUGUUCUCAGCCCAGAAAACUAUCUGGGAGAUACAAAGCUAUAGGCACAGACAAACAUCCUAUUUUUAGAAUCAAGAACAUGAAACACACCUAAACAUAUAACACUCAGUUACAAUCUCCUAGUUUAAGGCCUCUCGAGAACAUUGACAACUAAACUCACCACAAUUAUGCAUUAAAGGCUUUAGCUUGAAGAUGAACCAUGCAUGCUUUGACCAAGGCCAGACGGACUGGGACUAGGAGUUCGCUUUAUUUCAACCCCCUUUCCAGUAGACUGGGGACUCCAUUUUCCCCUUAGUUCACUGACACGUGGACUGUAUGCCCUCUGCGACAGACUUGGACUAUAUGCAGGUUUUAUAUCGUUCAACGAACCUGGAGUGGAACUGGUAACUUUUGGGCUUUGCGUACGGCG